RNAcentral lists this long non-coding RNA (200 nucleotides) under Elaeis guineensis (African oil palm). RNAcentral's name for it is "long non-coding RNA (EGUI_LNC038464)". Lineage: Eukaryota; Viridiplantae; Streptophyta; Magnoliopsida; Arecales; Arecaceae. The record is from RNAcentral.
GCUAAGACUGUAUUAUGUCAAGAACCAUAGUAGACUUGUUGUGCUAUCCACAAGGCUUACUGUGUGGACUGAUUUAAUAUUAUCUUGGUGCAUAAUGAAAUUGAUAAUAUUUAGCUCAUACUAAGUCAAUAAAGUAUAUCAAAAAUUGUAGUGAGUUUAUUGUGCUAUCCACAAGGCUUGCUAUAGUGAUUGGUAUGAUG